Molecule: long non-coding RNA, 7212 nt
Organism: Cygnus olor (mute swan)
Lineage: Eukaryota; Metazoa; Chordata; Aves; Anseriformes; Anatidae
Exons: 5
Source: RefSeq, a predicted model, not a curated record
CGCUCCACCUGCCAGCCAAUAGCAAGCCCCAACUCACCUGGAGCCAAUCCCCGAAAGGAUACCGUCUACCUGCGGCCAAUCGCGGGCCGAGAACCGUUACCUGGCGGAGCAGGAUCUUCCCGGCCAAUCGAAAGCUAGAAAGGAAGCGAUUUCCUCUGCUUUAAAUGGAAACUGAUAUGUAAGAUAUGUCUACAAAGAUAAUUUCAGAGCAAGCUAGACUUUGAUCUCCUUGUCAUGUCAGUUUGAUGACUUCAGCUUGUUGGACUGGGAGAUAAAAGAUGGCAGAUCAUUGCAUUUUUGUCUUCUACUGAAUCAUCCUCAGUUUAAUAAAAAGUCAUACUGUUGCUGUUCACUACACCCAAACUUGAACACUUGUUGAUAUCCUUAUUAACGCGGCUAUUUUAAGGGUCUUACAGCUCACAGGGAACUGUUUUCUCAUCAAGUUGGACUCAGCAUAACCAAGAGACAAACAUGAGUUUUCUCUCAUCUUCUUCAUUCAUCUGCCUAAAAUCUGAAAGAGACAAGCUAUUUUUUCUAUUGAAGUAAUGGCAUUGAAAUCACUGGAUCCAGUGGGAGCAAGUAUGGGCCAAAUGCGUCUGAGUUUGGAUUAAAAAAAAUAUAAGUCAAAUCAUUAAUAUGUUUUAACAUACUCUGGAGUAAAGCAUAUAUCCUACAUACCAUCAGAAAUCACCAUGGUAGUUCCUUACUGAUUUCCGUGCUGGGUUGCAUAUUAGUGGUUUUCUAGCCUGUCUUAAUAUAGAGAAAAUGAAUAAUGUUUCAAGACUAUUUUAAGACAACAUGUCCUUUAUUUGUGGUUUUUAUGGAAGAUAGAAGCACACAGAAGCUAAUUUACUUUUGUUGGCACCACAUUAGCCUGGAGGAUAAAGGAGAAUUCUAUGCGUAGCCCAAGCUACACACAUUUAAAAACACAAAACCAAACCUCUAUGCUUCUGUGUUUAUUUUUCCAGGAUAUUUAAGCAACCUGUCCUGUGAAAACACAUUUUUUGCCCAUUUUCCUUUUGUGUAUGUACAUCAGCAGACAAUACGCUGGAAACCAUAGAGACUCCUUUCUUCUUGCUGCCUAACCUGAUCCUAAUCCUUUAGAAAGCAAUGAUUCCACUUCUGAAAGGUAACAGUGAAAGAAACUGGAGAAGAAAGGAAACUGAUGUUUCUGCAACUGAAGACAUGUAACUGUCAUUUCAGAGGAUGGAAGAAAAUGGUGAAAAUUUUAAACAAAAAAGGACGACCCUGGGGGUCAAGUAUUCACCUUGGAUUCUCGAGUAUCUUAAUUUUAUUGCUUUCCCUUAACCGGACUUAAUUACACUUCUCUGAAUUCUCAUUAUUCUCAGCUAGCAUUGAGUUUGAAUGAAACACAGGCAUUCUUAAUUCAAAAUAUUCCAAAUCCUGAAAGUGCCUGAUGAGUCCUUCACUAAGCAUAAACAAAAACACCACUGGUGCAGUCUGAAGAUACUCAUAACCAACAUAUUAAAUGUUUCUUCUUUAUAAAGUAUAGGUUCAAUUGUAAAAUACUAUAUGCGCUGUAGUUUAUAAACAAUAUGUAGAAUCCUCCUGGCUUUUACAUGUAGAAUCUCAUCUAUGUAUAUAUAUUAGUUGCACACACACCCUGGAAAGAUGAGGGUAGGAUAAUCCUAAAUAGAUGCCUGUAAAAAUGUGGUAAGUUUAAGAGGUACAGAAAUAGAUCUUUUGUGUUUGGCUAACUCUAAAAGAAAUGUAACAAUAAAGGAAGAGCAGUCUGGAUGGAGUAUGGUGCCAGAUGUUUUACAGAUUACGUUGUAUUUCAUCACUCAAUCUUUAUUUAAUCUUAAAAGACUGUGGUAGUUCUAAUACUGGAAUAGCCCAACGGCCUAUAUGUUGGCUUGCUACAUCCUUGCCUGUUCCACACAUUUCCCCCUUAAAGCUGGUCACUUUUUUUUUUUAUAGUUUAAAGAAAAACAUCCUCUUCACCCCCAUCUAGUAACCCAAUGCAUGAAUAUUCAGGGCUUUGUGAUAUUUGUGCUAGCAAAGGUAAUCCCCAGUGCUCUUCUUUUUUUCCAAUUACUUAUCCAGUAAGCAACUAAUGCAAGCCUGUACUUGUUAGCAAUUUACGUUACCCAGUGGCUAUGUUAAAGGUGUUUGGGCCAAAAUUAUGAUCUUCAGAAGAAUUUGUUUAGGAGCGUGGAGAUUUUUUGAAGAAUGCUGUAAACUGCCUUUUUGUCUUUAUUGCAUAUACGUAGUUACACAGCGUGCAGUGCAAGAGAAAGAAAUGGGAAGAGAGUGUGUGUUUGUGUGGGAAUGUGCUGGUCAAUUUAUGAAAUUACUGCAGGGUUGAAUCUCUUUAAGGUAAUAAUAUCUGGAAGGUACAAAGUUUUGUACAUUGAGACUUAAAAGUUCUGUAUGGAUUUGUGUUUUUCAUACAUGCAUAAAGAGAUUAGAGUGGUCUUGCCUAAUAUGUCUAAUGUCAAAGAGAAUUAAAAUUGUCACUCUUUUCCAAAGUAUGACAUACUUUUCAAGACCUACAAAUAUAAAAACAUUUUUCUUUGCUUUGUAAUAGUGUCUGACUUUACCCCACUUGAGAACACCGAGAACAAUGUAAGUGCCAAGCAUUCCUGAUCUCAGCAGGAGACGCACAUGGUCCAUGACAGACGUUAUAGCGAGAGAGAUAGGAUUCUGGGCUAGAGAGGUCUUUGGUUCAGCAGAAUUAGUCCGUCCCACACAUUGGUUGGUCCUGGAUCUAGAAUGAUCAGAAGAGUUCUGAGAUAGCUCAGCGAUCAGGGCUAUUUGGAUGGCUUGUUUUGGACCAGCAUUUUGCUGAGCAGUGAACUCCAUUAACAGCUGAUUAGUUCUGUUGGUGCUAUGUUUUCUGACAGACUGGGCUUGACUGUCUUCUCAGAUUUGUUUUUGCUGUGCACAAGUUAGUAGAAGGAAUAGGCACGAUUGAAAGCUGGUGUAAGGAGAGAACAGAUCCCUAAUGCAUUAUGUAACGAUGAGCUUAGGUCUUCAAAUUCAUUUCAUUUAAGACACUAGCUAUAAAGGCAGAAAGACGGUGUCAUGCAUUUCAGCUACCAAAUCCAUCCACAUAGAUACAUUCACUGCCAAAUUUUUAUUCGGUCUUCAUCAAGAGGAAUUAGCUAUAUAUGUUUGUAACAUAUACUGGACACAGAAUUAUUAUUACAUCAAACAAGCUUUCAACCAUGGCAAGUGUUUUGAGCCACUGUAAUAAAGAGGGCAUGAGGGGAGUUCCUUUAGAUUUUUUUAAAAAGAAAAUAAGCUUUGUUAUCUAUUCUGCUCCGGAGAGAAAUAUGCAGGGGGUGCUGUUUUCCUCCUAAUUGGGAAGUGCUUUCUUAGGUUAAUGACUCUGAGUAUUUAAAAUCAGCAAUCGUAUUAAGUGUUUGGUUGUACCGACAGUAGAAGCCUCAUUGAGUUAAAUUGGUUUCGCUACAUUAUCUGUUGGAUUAGCAAACCUGAGAAGAACUAUGUGAGAGCUUUAACUUGGAUAAAUGCUUGCCUUUUUGCCCAGAAACAGGACAGACAUAUCUGUACAUUGACCUUUUAAUGGUGCCAUCACUGCAAGCAUUGCUUUCCAACAAAUCACUCAACGUCUUGCUCUUCAUCUUGUGCUUUCUGAUUCUUUUCAACCUCUUGAGGCAGCAACAGCUAUUUUUUGUAACAUAAAUACAGUAGUCUGCGUAAGUGCCCCCCAGAAAGCACUCAUGAAUACAGAAUGGUACUUUCUUUUCUGUUGUCAAGGCCAAAUUAGAGUUUUAUGAACCCUUGGGCACUGAAAAGGCAAAGCUUCAUUAUGGGAUGAAAUCUCUGAGGUUAUUUUGAUUUUCCUUAUAAUGUCUUUUAUCUUUCGGUUCAACAGUUGGAACAUCUAUUUUGUCUGCUUAUAGAAGCUACAAUUUCCUUAUAAUCUACACUUUAUUAACACUUCACAUUUAGAAUGAUCACAUUAAUACAUAUCCCACUUUCUUUGUCACAGACACACCAGUCCAUAGAGCAGUACUCUAGUGUGCUGAAAGGAACACAAAUACUCUCAGGUACAGCACAGAAACAAUUCCUUCUAUGUAUUUUUUUUUCCUCCUUGACAUUAGUACAACCUAUUCAAAGCUUGGAUAGCCUUCAGUUGAUGUCAGAUUUAAGUUAAGUAUACCAUAAAGUUAGAAUUGAUUAGGGUAUUCUCUUUGGAUGUUAACACUGCAUUAUGGCUUUUAAAUUAAAACAAAACAAAAAAGACAAAACACUUCCAAAAGUACAGAAGCUUCAGGUUUGUGCAAAACUCCAAUCAUUACAGAAUACUCCUAUACUGAAGGUCCUCCUUAGAAGAGUUUGUCUGACUUUCGUAUCUCCGGGUUUGGUAACACGUUUUUAAAAAUGCCACUCUUCACAAUGGAGGUGUUUUGUGCUACUCAUGCGAGUGCAGUAACGGGAGCUGAAACACCUGUUCUCCUCUCUGAGUCACCUCAUUCCUGGAAUGGACACAACUGCCAUAUGUAUGCUCACAUUCUGGCUUUCUGAAAUAUUCUGAGAUAUAUAUAUAUAUAUUUUUAGGUGACUGCCUAGCAUACUAGCUUUGGUUUUGGGGUGGUGUUGUUGUUGUUGUUGUUGCUGGUGGUGGCGUUUUCUUUGAGGGAACGAUUGCUGCCACCUUGUACUUUGAUCAAUCGCAACCGAGCUGUGCACCUUGAAGAUCUGCAAUCAACCUGCAGAAAAAUUCUUUGAAUAUAUCUUUUGAAGAAGUCAGCAGGGCACGCAGCCUGUGACUGUCUCCCAGAUGGAGAAGCAACUAAUUUUGUCCAAUAACCCCGUGUGAUUAACUCACUUGGCUUCAAGGUAAGGAGUGAUGUCAGGUGCACAAUUACAAACUAUUACUGCUGAAGUAAUUAGAUUAGACAUUGCCUUUAUAAUAUAUGCAGCCGCCUUCUCACUAAUUACUCUAAAUAACCAGCCAUUGUACUCUAGAGGGACCAGGUCGCUGCUUUUUUCACUGUUUUUCAAUAACUUCAAUCCCAGAAACAUGGAUUACUUUCUUAUGAUUUACAUUCCUCAGGAAGUUGCUACAAGUAUUUCCUCUGCUGGAUUUAGCCAACAAUUUCACUUGUAGCAGCAGUUCCUGACCCCAAAAGGCAAUGAAUUAAGCUAAUAGCUAGACAAACCCGCAGGAUACAAAAAGGUCAGACUCUGCAUUCACAGCAGUAGUUAUCUACUGGUAUUAAAAAAGGAUAUUUCUGAUUUAUGCAAGUAUAAUAGAGGAGUAAAGCACUACGACCUUUCUAAAGCAUGCUGUUGCGAUAUGGUUCAAAGUGCUGAGUAGAAUGUUUCAGAUGUGCCUAUCACAUUGCCUUGCCUAUGAAAGUGCACAGUUAAGCUUCCUUUGCUUCGGAGACCAAACAAAUAGGUCAGGUGUAAAUUGAAACAGCUCAGUUCCAGUGGAAAGGAGGCAUAGACAGGGGAGGCAAGAUAAGUCAAGGACUUGACCCGUGAUCAUGGAAAAAGCAACAGCUUAGUAAGGAGAAGCCAUUAUAAAAUCAUGCUUCUGCUGUUUGCAUCCCACUCUCUACUUAAUCAUAAACCAGUAAGAAUGAUUGAGAAGAGAACAGAAGGGGUUGCAGCUCCAGCUGUUGAAUUUCAUUUGGAAGAAAGGGAUCUUGACCAAAAAUGAACUUAGAAAACAAAAUGGUGCAUUUCUGUAAUUUAACAUUUCAACAUCCAGAACAGAAAAAAUAAAAUAGAAGGAUGAUAAGCUGAGGGAAGAAUAGAACCCUGAUCACCUUAAUUCAUUAAAGCUUUCUGGAUAAGAUGAAAAUUGGGUAUACCUCGCCUUAACUCAGUAUGUGAGACUCAGUGACUAUGGUAAAUAGCACCACACAAGUACUGUUGGGAUGCACCUACCUAGUUGGAGGAUAACAGUUUCUGUGUCUCCUGAAAGGUUUUUUUCUGCCGUAAAACUCAAAGAUUUAGGAAAGAACUCAGUAUGGUUAUAUAUCAAUUCUGCAGAUGAUGCAGUGAAAUGACUUAAGUAAGGUUCCCAACAAGCCAGUGGCCAGAGCUUGGAGCAGAAUCCAAGUGUCUCAGACCAGGGCUAGACUGGUAAGAACUUUGUGGAAGAAUGAUAGCUUGAUGUCAGUUUGUGCCUUCCAGCACACAGUUGGCAGGAAGUUUUUCCAUUAUAGCAGAAACUAACAAUCCUAACGGUGAACCUAAGCCUGACUUACGAUGGGAGCAUAUUUUCUAUUACAGCUCAGUUCAGGAUCAUUAAUUUUUUUUCAGAGCAUUCUCUUUACUUCAGUGAUGUUGAACAAAUCUCAUUUUAAGUUAUAAAUCUGUGUUAAAAUCCUCUUUCAGUUCUGGUCAUGUGAAAUUCGACCACAUGUCACAAAUACAUGUAAGGCAGGAGGAAUGAGCGCACUGCGCUGUGAUCAAACGCUUGUUUCCUCCUCAAUGCAAUCGCAACUAUUGCUCAGCAGCCACUGCAUUCAAGAUACCCAUCUUCAAAGCCCAGUACAGCUCUUCUCGUAUCUACAUCUUUUGUCUUGUGUAAUCUUGCACCUCCCCAUGCUCCCUUCUUUCAGCCACUGCCUUAGUUUCUCCCUCCUACCCUCCCUCUCUAGUUUCAUGUGUUCUGUUGUGUCAAUCCCUACAUUUGAAACAACCUUUUUCAAAGCAUCAAAAUCCUCAAAAAUACAUUUUCCUUAUGAAGUGUCUUAUAUCGGUUUCCUAUACUGAAAAUAUUUUGGUUGUUUUAAUCCAUAUCCCAGUAUAUUUACUGUGUUGUUUUUUUUUAGAGGUUAAUUAUGAAGCUUGUAUUUGUUAUGUAUAGUGUGUUCAUUUGCUGAGAUCACUGGAAUUAUUUACAGAACAAAGGGUUACUUUGCAUGAGUUAGGUGACUUGAUCUAGUCUUGCAUUAAGGAGCGUGUAUGAGUACCCAUAAAUUUCAUUGUCAAGUAAUAUGAAGAGGCCUAACAUAGUAUAUUAGGUCAGCCUCUGAAUAAAAAUGGCAAAAAUAUUCAAAGCGACUGAGUAACUUGAAGCCAUUUAUGACGUUUUUGAACUUUACUCAGCUACUUAGGGCCAGAUGCAAAAAGGAGAUUUUCAGAGGCGCAUACAGCAGACUGUCCCUGGAAACUAACAGCAAAUUCUCAAGUCCUUCCCGAAAUCAGAGUCUGAGUUCUUUCAUUACCAAGCACCUUUGAAAUUCUCCGCAAUCCAAC